UCAAAAACACCCCUUAACUUCCAAUUUUCAUCAGCCGCGCAUGUCCAAACCUCUAAUCUCUAUCCAAUUCCUUUGUCAAGUGAUGACUUGAUAUCAAUAAGAAAGAAAAAAGGAAAAAUAGACAAAUUGCAUUCAAUCCCACUAAAAUCACUAAGGUUAGGGGGUUGUGAUGGGAACGAAGAUGUGUAUCGAUAUGGGGGAAAAAUGGUCUGAAAAGUAACUUUCAGAAUUUGACUUUCUUCUUGAUAUCAAGUCAUCACUUGACAUAGGAAUUGGAUGGAUAUUGGAGGUUUGGACAUGCGCGGCUGAUGAAAAUUAGAAGUUGAGGGGUGUUUUUGAUGAAAUUGAAAGAAGAAUGACUAACAUGAUAAUUGAUCUAAAGUUGAUGGGGGUAAACUGAAAUUAGUCCAAAAAGAAAAAGAAAAAAAGAGACAGAACCCAAAUGAACCGAUGUUAAUUGAAUGAUACAUGUGGUAGCACUCGAAAUUCGGGUCAUGAAUUCUAAAAGUAGUUUUUUUUUGGUUGCGUAUGAAACUAUGAAUUGUGGAGAAGAGUCAAGUUUAGGGAAGAAGUAGUUGUUUCAAUGGUCUUAGGGUAGGAGAUUAGAUUUCUAAUUGUGAUUUCCUUUUCUUUUUUAAUAAUAGAUGUCUGUUUUAGUCAUUAAACAUGCAUAAAAUAUUUGAUGUGAAACAUAAAUUAAUACGAGUGUGUAUUAAGAGAUUAGGGGUGUGUAUUUAAAAGGAGAAAUUAUUGGUCACUCCAUUAGCUUUCAUGCGCUCGACAGUUUACUCCAUUAACUUUCAAUUUCAAUCGAUUACUCCAUUAACUAUCCAAUGUCACACAAUUUGGUCCAUCCGUUAAGUCGCCGUCCAAAUCAGUGGUUAAGUUGCUGACUGGACAUAUUUUUCAACUGAAAAUUCCAUUUAACACCCCACCUNNNNNNNNNNNNNNNNNNNNUAUAAUAGGCUUUGGUUCAUAAACUUUUGUUGGAUUUGAGUGAGUGGAAAGUGAAGCCAAAACCACAGCUUACUUACUGUUUGGGAAGCCAUGGCUGGCCAAAGAGAGAGAGAGAGAGAGGUGGGGUGUUAAAUGGAAUUUCCAGUUGAAAAAUAUGUCCAGUCAGCAACUUAACCACUGAUUUGGACGGCGACUUAACGGAUGGACCAAAUUGUGUGACAUUGGAUAGUUAAUGGAGUAAUCGAUUGAAAUUGAAAGUUAAUGGAGUAAACUGUCGAGUGCAUGAAAGUUAAUGGAGUGACCAGUAAUUAAUUCUAUUUAAAAUUACUUGUAUUAUAUUGAUCUUGGUUUCAUAAUACAGAAAACAGUUUUGUAAUCAUGUAUCGAACAUGCCCUAAAUAAUAGGAAACAUCUUUGAUUUUCUUCUUUGAACAAGUUGCCUACACAUAUUAGACAUAGAAUCUAAGGUGUGGAAUGUUUGAGCCUCUGUCAUAUCUUUCUUAUAUGAUGCAGUGCAAAGGGGUUAACUCAUUUGGAAUUUCAAGGAGUCCAUAUUUAAGUUUAAUUAAUAUUAUUAUUUCAAAAUAUGUCUAUUUACUAAACUUGUUGAAUGAGUAUGAUUUAAUGUGGGAUUGGAAAGUGGGUAUUCUAGAAUGUAUUAGAAGAAAAGGGGGAUUAUGCAUUGUAUUAGUAUUUACUAGAGGGUUGAGUUAGCUCUUUAAAAGGGACAUCCAUGUAUGAGAAAUAUAGACUUUGUUUAUGAAUAUUUCUAUUAAGAAAAAUAGAGCUUUACUCUUUUUAUCAAUCUCAUUUCUUUAUAUGUGUCGUUGUUCUAGUUAUCAUCCUCUACUGAUCCGUUCCCGCAUCAUUUGGUACUAGAGCCACGCUACGCUCUUUGGGUUGCUUCCACUAAUCUCAUGGCGGUAAGAAGAGGUGGAGGAAAGCGUGGAAACCAUAUGAAAGAUGAGAAAUCAAUAGGUGAAGAACUUCAUGCACUUCGAAGAAAAGUUGAGAGAAUUGCCUUGCUAAUUGAAUGCCUAGAAGCUCGUAAGAAGCAUGGUGGAUCAAGAAGCGGGUAUCCUUAUCAUGAGACCAAGACAGAGAUACGAUCAAAUCAUCGACGUCGUCCAUCUCAAAGGUCUAAGAAUCACUUGUGGAAGGUUGGAUCAUCAAGAUUUCAAGAAUGGCUUGAAGUUGCAAGAGGCACUUAUGCAAAGGAAUGCGAGGUUGAAGAUGUUGAAGAUCUUGAGAUGGAGGUCAAAGAAUUCAAUAGGGAUUCAAAUAUGAAGGUAUGUCAUUUGUUUCCUUUUGAGUUAGAGAUUGAGCAUGGAGAUAAUAUUGAAGUAGAUUGAAAUUCACCACCCAUCUAUGAUGCAUAUCUUGAUGUUGAAUCUUUUGACCCAACAAAAGAAAAUAUUGAUGAAUCUCUUCAUGACAACAAUUUUGGUGAUACAUGCCUAAUUGGAGACCAAGAGUUUGAGUUUUCGAAAGAAGUACUUGCAUGCUCAGAUGAAUUACUUGAACCUAGUGAUUUGGAUGACAAAGUUUUAUUUAAUGAACAAGGUAAGAGUCAUGGUGCAUUUUUGGUUUAUGAAAAUGGUGGUGUAGAUUUGGAAACUAAAGUUGGGUUUUCACAUGCCUCACAAUGCUCCAUUAGAUUUGAAUUUCACUACCAUGAUCCUUUUUGGGAUGAUUUCAUGAAAGCUUAGAUCAAUACCAAGUCAAGAACAAAGAAUGAGUUAUUGCAAGUGUUGGAGCUUAAUGCAUGUAAUAUUUGUGCAUCAGAAAAACUUCUUCAAAGGAUUGAGUUGUGCGCCUCUUUUGUCGAGAUGCUACUUGUCAGCAUCACGAAGGAAACAAAGAGAAGCAAGAAGAUAGGGUGGUGACAUUAUGAACUUUUUGAUGAAUUUGAUUUCAAGCAUGCGAACUUAUGGACUAGUUCUUUCUCACCCCAGGGAGAAUGAUGCAAUGCAAAAGGGGGAUUAACUCAUUUGGAAUUUCAAGGAGUCCAUAUUUAACUUUAAUUAAUAGUUAUUAUUUCAAAAUAUGUCUAUUUAGUAGACUUGUUGAAUGAGUAUGAUUUAAUGUGUGAUUGGGAAGUGGGUAUUCUAGAAUGUAUUAGAAGAAAAUGGGGAUUAUGCAUUGUAUUAACAUUUAUUAGAGGGUUGGGUUAGCUCUUUAAAAGGAACAUCCAUGUAUGAGAAAGAUAGACUUUGUUUAUGAAUAUUUCUAUUAAGAAAAAUAGAGCUUUGCUCUCUUUAUCAAUCUCAUUUCUUUAGAUGUGUCUAUCUUGUUCUAGUUAUCAACCUCUACCGAUCCGUUCUCGCAUCAUUAUAAUAUGCAGACUCCAAUUAUAAAGUAAGAAGUUCAUCUUGCAUAAAAUCUUGAGAAUAAAAGCUCUUAGUAUGAGGUGGUGCAACUCGUUGGAGCUAUCUCAGAUCACGAGACCAUUAAACAUUGGGUAUAGAUAUAAUUAAUGACUACACGUGUGUUAUAUGAAGGUUGCAGAGAAUCAAAUGCAUGUGGCAAGGUUCUUUCGUGCAACCAAUAAAACCAAUGAGUAUUGCAACCCCAUUAUUAUGGCUGCUUUCAAACCUUUGAUUAUUAUUUACCUAUUAUUGAAGAUGUUUGACCCAUUAUACAAGUGUUUAUCCCGAACGUACCUUUCCAUUUGUUUGGGAUCCAAUUUAAUCAUCUUUUAGACACCGUUUAAUCUGGUUAUUCUAGAUACCGUUUAAUCUUUUAUUCUGGACAUUGGUAACUUCCCGGGGUUGUUGGUGUUCACCUUAGUCACCGGAGUUUUGUCUUUCUUUUUUGUUGAACUCGUGUUUUCUGCAAUUUGUUCUUCGGCUUUCUCUUCGCUUCCAGUUCGGUUUAGGGUUUAAGGAUCUUCUGUUUUUUUUUUAAAUUCCAAUUCGUACUCCUGUGUUUAGUUCCAUUUUGUUCUCUUCCUUAGUUCUUUAGUUAUUUGGUUUUCUAUUCAAUUGCUUUUGUUUGCUUCACUAUUGUAAACCUUGGGUCAGGCCUUUGUUAUGGCUAUGUUAUAUUCCUAGGUCUUGAGCCUUCUUUAAUGAAGUGGUUGUUUGACCCAAAAACAUCUAAAAACACAAGAUCGACCAAUAUUGUAGUAGAUCCAUUUGUAUUAUUGUAUACAUCAAUAAUGUUAGUACCGUAACAGUACAACAUCUAUAAACAACUUAUCAUCAUAUCAUCAUAUGACAAUUUUUUUCCAGUUCUUAUAUUUUAUUUGUAUUAUUGUAUAAAUCACAUGGAUUUAAUAACUUCAUGUUGGAUAGUACUACAAUAGCUUUAUCACUAUGAAUCCAAGUACUCGGGUUUCAAUAAUCAAUUGACUAGAAAAAAAAAACUCAUUUAAUAUAAAGCGAACACAAACUUUCAAAUCUCCAACAAACUUUCAAAUCUCCAGCAAACUUCAUAAGCACCCUCCUAUCUAAUUAGAUUCUAAAAGUUUUGAUUUUGAUUUUUAGGCAGUCACUUGGGAAAGUGGGGACUGAGGAGACGGGCUAAGGGCGACAAGCUCCGGGCCUCCGACCGACGGGCAACAGCUGCACGGUGCAAGCGACAGGGGAAGUAAGGAUUGAGAUUGAAGAGGAAGGUGUGAGAUUGAAGAGGAAGAAUUACGGAACUAGGGACCUAGCUAGGAUAGACUGAUGUGUUUUAAAAUGUUACUCGCAAGCGCACGAAUCAGUUGCAGCACAAAUAUGCAAGAGCGAGAUUGAACCCACAGGGAAUGUAUGAAAAUAGGAAAAACUAAUCGAAUCCAAAUUAAUUUAACACCAACGUAGUUGAAUGAAAGUUGAUGGUGAAGUAGCUAAAACAAAUAAAAUAGAUAAAAGUUACAUUGAUGACGAAGUAACUAAGGCAUCGGAUUUCACCACAUUACUCAAUAAGAUAUAUUACUUACCAAUUCCCGAAUUAUGAGUAGCAAUCUAGAAAUCAAUAUAUUGCUUUAUCAAGAUUUAACAAUGAAACACAUAUGAAAUUUAUCUAAAGUAGACUCUUCUUCGCUUCUUAAUUAUGAACACCAAAGCAUCACAUGUACACAAAUUUAUUGAAACUACAAAAGAUCAAAGUGUUUACAAAGCAUCAAAUGUGAAACAAGCCCAUUUGAAUGACAAUAGACCAAAGGAUUUCAUUUUAAAUAUUUUACAAAGCGAAGCAUGGAUUAAUAAAAGUGAUUUCCAAACUACCAAAAAUGCAUGACAUUAAAGGUGAAAGGAACAAAAAUCUUAUUAAUGCAUUUUGAAGCAAGAGUCAUAGACAUGAAUAACAUAAUUAUGGGAAUCGACAGAUAAUUAAGAGAAACUUAUUUUAUAAUGUGGUUUCCUCCUUAACUUUAGUUAAGGAAAUUAGCAACACAUAGUACAAAUUGAAAACAUGUUUAAAACAAUACAAAACAUCAUAGGAAAAAUAGCUAAAGAAAGGGAAGAACAAAAGCAACAAUAUGUCUCUCAAUCUCCACUCUCUCCCCCCUCUCCUUAUUCUCUUGAAAACAAGCUCUAUUUAUAGAGCAACAUUGAGCUUCAUUACAACUUCAUCUCCAUGUGAAAAUAACUUUCCUUCUUCAAACUUCUCAUGCUUGAUGACAACAUAUUUCUUCACCCAUAAAUGUUUUCAUACAUCACUUUCUCUUCAUCUACAACAUCAUUUGCUUCUCUCAUUUUUCAUGUACAAGAGUACGUAGACAAACUUUGAAGAAUUAGAAGUGAGCUCCUAGAUUCAUACAAGUUUGUUCCAUGCAAUCUUGUCUUUGGAAAUUUUUCAUGCACUUUUCCAUUUGUAUCAAUGCAUAUCUACGUACCUAUGAAUCAAAUGAGUAAAGUGAAUUCAACAAUUGAAAGCUAAGGUAUAUAUUUUCAAUACAACACACAUAAUGCAAUGGGAAAGCAUUCCACCAAUAGGCACAUGCUAUUAGAACAAUGAAAACAUAUGUUACACUUAGUUAUUUAAUUAAAGGGAAAAAAGACUCAUGUUUAAAACAAUGACUCAAUUUACUAUAAAAAUAGAUAAAUUGCUUCAUAACUUUAACAUUUCAUUUAUUUAGACAUAACAUCUAUAAGAACACAAAAACAAACUAAAUAACUCAAACUAAUUAAAACAAGUAACUAACAUAUAUAAAUCAGGGAUAAUAAUAUGAUAUAAAAUGUGCUCAUCAUAGACGACUAGACGGGGAAGUAGGAUGCAACCUUAACAUGGAACGACAUCAUUUACAUAUAUAUAUAUAUAGACACACACACACACACAGAGGAAGGAUUGAGAGCGAACGUCCGCGCUUUAAAAUGCAGACAAUCCACUUGUGAGCACUUUAUUGGUUGGUACAAUCGUUCAACAAGUCGACCUAAUUUCAGCUAUAUACGUGGGUCCCAUCGACAACAUCUUCUCUAAUUUCCCUUCAAGUGUUAACUAUCACCACAAUCUCCCACCGCAGUUUCAUCACCAUACUUCUACUUGGAUUGACUAUGAUUUCUAUGAAUCAAUCCAAAAGAAACAAAAAUGAAAGCUUCACAUCAUUAAUUGAUCGCUUUACAUCAUUGAUCAACUGUUAGAGCUUUUCAUUGAUUUAUAAUCUCAAACCCACAACAGAAACCCAGAUGCUAGAUCCAACCAGGUAACCAUGAAUUAAUGCAAACUAUCAAAUAAAAAAAUCAUAUUUUCAAUACAUCAGUGCCAAACAAAACAUCUAGUGCAAGUCAUCCUCUUCGUCCCAUCUCAAUCUUCUGCCAAUCUACCUUAUCAUCUACGUGGCUUUCAUUUACCCUAGCUAGCCAUGGCUUUGCCGGAGUUGGACGACGAUGGGUCACUGAAUCUGCCCAAUAAAAUUAAAAAGAUACCCAACAAACUAGAAAUAAGAAGAGCAAAAACAUGUCGAUUGAAUGAAGAGUUUGGAUUUGGAGGCAGAAAAUGAAACGGGUCGGAGAAUGAUCCUAACCCAUCUUGUUAUAAUAGUUAGUUCCUAAUGAGCAUAUAGACAAGUUAAUAUUGUGGCUUUGAUUCUGGUUUUGUCAAUUGAAUGUUUUCUGGCAGAACGAUUGAUUAGGGAAGUAGCGAAGGAUUUUGGGUAUGCAGCUUUUGAAGAGAAAACACAAAGGCCAGAAGAUUAGAGAAGAUGAUGUCGGUGGGACCUGCGUAUAUAGCUGAGAUUAGGUCGACUUGUUGAACGAUUGUACCAACCAAUAGAGUACUCACACGUGGAUUGUCCGCAUUUUAACAAAAGCACGAACGUUCACUCUCAAUCCUUGUAUAUAUAUAUGAUGUGAUGUAGUUUUUUUUUUUUUUUUUUAGGCUUCAAAUUCUCACCUUGGCUCUAGUCCGGUCAAACCUAAAGCUGACUUCACCUCUAGACGUGGAUAUCAGGCUUCGCCGCCUGAGCAUAAGAAGAAAGCAAUAGUAUUUGGUUUUGUUUUAUUCAAGAAAAAGAACAACACUUUCUCUAGCUGAAAUGUAGUAUAUGCAAAAUUUCAACCGCUAUUUCCUAAUAUAAUCUGCUACACAUAGCCACAAAGUAUUACUUGAUUGAGUAGCUCAUGUCAUAAGCUUACACAAGCAAGACAUACACGCUUGAGAAAUAUUAGAGAAGAAAUUUGUUCAAGUAACAAAAUGGAUUUCAUGUUUUUUUUUUUUAAAUGUAAAUCGUUAUAUGUACAAAAUGAAGUAAAUGACUAUAUAGAAUGGCUCACCUGCUUCUCAUGCCCUACAUAUGUACAAAAUGAACUUCAGCUUUGGAAUGAAAUUUACCCCACCCCAAGGAGAGUGAAACGAAAACAGAUCUGAGAGUUUUGUCUCCUCCCCUUUCUCUCUUGCCCAGAUCUAGAUCUAUCUGGGUCUCGAUCGAAGGCUGAGAGUUGGGGGUGGAUCUUACAUCUCCUUCUUCUAGCUUCCUUAGUAAUCUUCUCACCCUUUUGUAGUAUUAUUUUACCCGUUUUGUGGUGAUUUUCUGGUUGAUGUCUAGAUCGGGAGGAUUUUGUUCCUCAAAUUGUCUUUUCAGUUUUUCUCAUUGUCAUCCAAUCUCAUAUGCUUCAAGAUCUAAGAUUACUCAACCCCUCAAUAGAUCAACUCUCUCUACUCAUUACCUCUAAGAAGAUGUCUAUGGUUGCAAGUAUAAAGUGCAAGUCACUUACCCACGCGAUUAUGGGUGCUCACGCAUGGGUUUUACACCCCCCCAUUCUCCAUCGGUCUCGUUCUUGUUCUCGUUCUAUGUUAUGGUUCUUGGUUACAACUUGGUAGCCAUGUUUCUUUCUUGAGAAGUGUUGUUAUGGUGGAAGGAUUGGUGUUGUUUUGUGGGAUCUCCUCUCUUUGGAGGCUGAGUGUUUUAUGGUCUGUGGUUUAGGAUUUGGCUGGCAACGGAACAUCAACUUGCUCAUCCAUGCAUGUCGUUCUGCCUCCGGUGGUUGAUCAAUGGCUUUAUAGAUCGGUAGCGACUGCGACGGCGACGGCGACGGCGACGGAAGAGGCAGCAGCUAGGGUUUGCUUGGGUGGCCGCUGGUUUAGCUUUGAUGUGUUUUGUGUAAUUUUAUUUUUAUCUUUAGGGUUACCAUUUUUACCUUUUCAUGUGGAUUGGGUUGAGUGGUAACUUCCCUAAUGUUUAUCUGUACUUGGGCCUUAUUUGGGCUCUUCCAUUGGACUUUCCCCUUUGGUAAUCAUUAAUAAAACUUUUCAUUAAUUCCAAAAAAAAAAUGUACAAAUUUAAGUAGAUGUAGUGGCUUGCAUGCUUCUCAUACCUUAAAGGUCACAUUCGAUUUGUAACAGGUCGCGAAUUUACAAUGGAUUUCACUCGGAGCAAUUAUAAUUAUGAAAAAUUGUAACAAUUUUCUUUUUUAGAAUGAAUUAAAAGCAACUUAAAAGGAAAAAAAUGGUGGAAUAAAUGUAAAAAGGUGACAUGAUGUCAUAUUGUAAGGCUUG
This 8877-nucleotide long non-coding RNA is filed under the name Fragaria vesca (wild strawberry). RNAcentral describes it as "long non-coding RNA (FVES_LNC002821)". The record is from RNAcentral. Lineage: Eukaryota; Viridiplantae; Streptophyta; Magnoliopsida; Rosales; Rosaceae.